GGGCCAUUGGCUCAUCUGGUAGAGCAGUGGACAUUCGAUCCGUUGGUCGCUGGUUCGGGUCCAGUACAGCCUUCC
This 75-nucleotide transfer RNA is filed under the name Cupriavidus smyrnaeus. RNAcentral's name for it is "Cupriavidus sp. TA19 tRNA-Glu". It matches the Rfam family "tRNA". Rfam says of the family: Transfer RNA (tRNA) molecules are approximately 80 nucleotides in length. Their secondary structure includes four short double-helical elements and three loops (D, anti-codon, and T loops). Lineage: Bacteria; Pseudomonadati; Pseudomonadota; Betaproteobacteria; Burkholderiales; Burkholderiaceae. The record is from RNAcentral.